UUCCUCUAGAUUCCUUAUCCCUCAAACCUAUAUAGUGGUUUGAGAGGCUUCAAAGAAAAAGAAGGAAAAGUAAAACUGAAAUGGACUUGGAGUCAUAGGCGACAAACAAGUACAUCUCAAACAAAC
RNAcentral lists this small nucleolar RNA (126 nucleotides) under Echinops telfairi (small Madagascar hedgehog). RNAcentral's name for it is "Small nucleolar RNA SNORA61 (ENSETEG00000025576.1)". The record is from RNAcentral. Lineage: Eukaryota; Metazoa; Chordata; Mammalia; Afrosoricida; Tenrecidae.